CUUGUUGGUGGGGUAACGGCCUACCAAGGCGACGACGGGUAGCCGGCCUGAGAGGGCGACCGGCCACACUGGGACUGAGACACGGCCCAGACUCCUACGGGAGGCAGCAGUGGGGAAUAUUGCGCAAUGGGCGAAAGCCUGACGCAGCGACGCCGCGUGAGGGAUGAAGGCCUUCGGGUUGUAAACCUCUUUCAGCAGGGACGAAGCGAAAGUGACGGUACCUGCAGAAGAAGCACCGGCCAACUACGUGCCAGCAGCCGCGGUAAUACGUAGGGUGCAAGCGUUGUCCGGAAUUAUUGGGCGUAAAGAGCUCGUAGGCGGCCUGUCGCGUCGGCUGUGAAAACUCAGGGCUCAACCCUGAGCCUGCAGUCGAUACGGGCAGGCUAGAGUCCGGCAGGGGAGACUGGAAUUCCUGGUGUGGCGGUGAAAUGCGCAGAUAUCAGGAGGAACACCGGUGGCGAAGGCGGGUCUCUGGGCCGGAACUGACGCUGAGGAGCGAAAGCGUGGGGAGCGAACAGGAUUAGAUACCCUGGUAGUCCACGCCGUAAACGUUGGGCGCUAGGUGUGGGGAACCUUCCACGUUCUCCGUGCCGCAGCUAACGCAUUAAGCGCCCCGCCUGGGGAGUACGG
Molecule: ribosomal RNA, 630 nt
Filed under: uncultured bacterium
Lineage: Bacteria
Description: bacterial SSU rRNA
Rfam family: Bacterial small subunit ribosomal RNA
Source: RNAcentral